AAAAAAACCAUCGCAGGUCACAACCGACUGUCUCUCCUUUUUUCGAAGGUUUUAUAGAAGAAAGAGAGAGCUUUUACUCAUCUCAAGCUUGGAACUUUUCUCUCAUUCUCUUCCUUUCUAAGUUGUCUCUCAGACCUUCUUUUCACAUUCCGUUGCAGAUUACUUAGCAUUUUGAUUUCGAAUAACAACCUUAAUCAGAAAGAAAGAGAGAUGUUCCGGAGCCGAUUAUCACCAUUUUUGUUGGUGAAGAGUAACCGCAAGGCUCUCUACAACCACAUCACCCAAGCAACAUCAUCUUCGUCUAAAGUUGCAAGGGAGGAGACAUCUAGAUUUUUCUCCACUGGAAUCGUACGGAGAAUUCUGCAUGACUUCCGAUCUUCCCCUAAGGGUCAGUAUGUGCCAUCUUUGAGAAAUGUUUCCACCGUGCAAUCUCUUAAUGCAAAAAGUAAUGAAGGACUGAAGCUACUUGUAAAUGGAGGACCUCAUGCUCAGAAAAUGGUUGGGAUAUGGCUCUUUGGCUCUGCUGCUUGGGUGUUUAGUAUGGUCGUACUUGGAGGUGUUACACGACUAACAAGAUCUGGUCUUUCGAUGACUGAUUGGAAGUUUAGUGGUGGGCUCCCUCCUCUAUCGGAUGAGGAAUGGUUACAGGAAUUCGAGAAGUACAAGCAGUCUCCUGAAUAUAAGCGGGUUAAUCGAGGAAUGAGCAUUGAUGAUUUCAAAUUUAUAUACUGGAUGGAAUAUGCUCAUCGUAUGUGGGGAAGAGCUCUUGGUAUCAUGUUUGCUUUGCCAUUUUCAUAUUUUCUUCGUAAGGGAUAUAUUACCGUACGACUUGGACUGAAACUCUCUACUCUUUUCGCCCUUGGUGCUGGGCAGGGUCUGAUUGGAUGGUGGAUGGUUAAAAGUGGUUUAGAGGAACCACCAUCUGAAUAUGCACAGCCUAGAGUAAGCCCGUAUCGGCUUGCAGCUCAUCUCACUUCGGCAUUUGUUAUAUACAGCGGCCUUCUUUGGACAGGUCUCUCGGUGGUAAUGCCCGAACCACCUGCAGAAUCAAUGUCCUGGGUUAAGGGGGCUGCAAAAGUAAAGAGACUUGCUCUUCCUGUCAGCUUACUCGUCGGCAUUACUGCUGUCUCAGGAGCAUUUGUUGCAGGAAAUGAUGCUGGACAUGCCUACAAUACUUUUCCGAAGAUGGGCGACACAUGGAUACCUGAGGAUGUUCUAGAAAUGAAGCCACUUAUUCGCAACUUCUUUGAGAAUACUUCGUUGGUGCAGCUUGACCAUCGUAUCCUGGCAACAGCCACUUUAGUUUCAAUCGCCUCGUUAUGGUGGUUAACGAGGAAGGUGGAUCUUCAUCCUGCAGUUCGAUAUUUGAUUGGAAGCACUGUUGGCAUGGCUGGUCUUCAGGUUACCUUGGGGAUAUCUACCCUUUUGUCAUACGUGCCAGUUUCCCUGGGCAGUGCUCAUCAAGCUGGGGCUUUGACACUAAUGUCACUGAUGAUCCUUCUCAUUCACACUCUGAGGAAGCCAUCGCCCUUUCUUCUUAAAUCUCUGCCUAAAGUUGCCAAGACAAUCUAGCUUACUGCACAAAUUUAUGCAAAUCCUGCCCUUUUGGUUGGUGUUUCUGAUCGACAAAUUUCCUUCCUGGAUGGUGCUUCGUGUUACAAGGGCCUUUGUGGUUAAAGAAACUUACCCCAUUUUCGUUCAUGGAGAUCAGCUAGAAAAAGUUUGAUGGAAGAAGACGUAUCAGAGAACAUUGAUUGAUCAGAUAAGAUAUUUGUAUAUUGGAACGAGGUUGUGAGAGAGUGGUGAUAAAGAAUAGCACGAAACUAGAUAAAGUAUUACAAUAUAUUUUAAUACUAUCUUUUUCUUCAGUAGUCAAUAAUGCAUGUUAUAUUGUUUAAAUUUGUGUUGUAAUAAAUUAUCUAAUUGUUAUAUUGUAAUAAGUUUUACAAUAAUGAUAAAUGUACAUAAAAUGUGCACCAAAAUGAGCAGUGCAUA
This is an RNA transcript of Humulus lupulus (European hop), 1995 nucleotides long. It is a transcript of the gene named cytochrome c oxidase assembly protein COX15-like, with no coding region annotated. NCBI's taxonomy places the organism in Eukaryota, Viridiplantae, Streptophyta, Magnoliopsida, Rosales, Cannabaceae. The transcript has 9 exons. The record is from RefSeq and is a predicted model, not a curated record.